RNAcentral lists this unclassified non-coding RNA (149 nucleotides) under uncultured Tetracladium. RNAcentral describes it as "sequence contains ITS2". Lineage: Eukaryota; Fungi; Ascomycota. The record is from RNAcentral.
UCACCCCUCAAGCUUAGCUUGGUGUUGGAGCUUGCCCGUCACAGGGCAGCCCCUAAAAGCAGUGGCGGUGCCAACUGGCUCUACGCGUAGUAAUACUUCUCGCGAUGGAGUCCCGUUGGUGUCCUGCCAGAACCCCCAUAUUUUUUAAU